CAUUAAUGGACCUUUAGUUACUAGAGUAUUCGUAGCAAAUCUUGACUACAAAGUGGAUGAACAGAAAUUAUUAGAAGUGUUUAAAUUAGCUGGUAAAGUACUACAUGUUGAAUUAG
This is a long non-coding RNA of Bombus impatiens (common eastern bumble bee), 116 nucleotides long. RefSeq lists it as uncharacterized. The transcript has 2 exons. The record is from RefSeq and is a predicted model, not a curated record. Lineage: Eukaryota; Metazoa; Arthropoda; Insecta; Hymenoptera; Apidae.